UAAUUUUAUAGAGACAGUGGCUCGCCAUAUUGCCAAGGCUGGCCUCGAACUCCUGGGCUCAAGCAAUCCUUCCGCCUCGACAUCCCAAAGUGCUGAGGUAACAGGCGUAAGCCACUGCGCCCGGCCUCCUAUUUUUCAUCAAAUAAAAUACAACCGUUCAGAGCAGCAUGCUCAGCAACCACGAGGACCAGUCCCAGCGCAUCCAAGGUGCCGGGAGGGAAAGGAACAGAACUCC
Molecule: long non-coding RNA, 235 nt
Filed under: Homo sapiens (human)
Lineage: Eukaryota; Metazoa; Chordata; Mammalia; Primates; Hominidae
Description: non-protein coding lnc-TMED5-3:1
Source: RNAcentral